UACGGGGGGGGCAAGCGUUGUUCGGAAUUACUGGGCGUAAAGGGCUCGUAGGCGGCCAACUAAGUCAGACGUGAAAUCCCUCGGCUCAACCGUGGAAGUGCAUCCGAAACUGCAUGGCUGGAGUCUCGGAGAGGAAGGUGGAAUGCUUGGUGUAGAGGUGAAAUUCGUAGAUAUCAAGCAGAACACCUGCGGCGAAGGCGGCCUUCUGGACGAUGACUGACGCUGAGACGCGAAAGCGUGGGGAGCAAACAGG
Molecule: ribosomal RNA, 253 nt
Filed under: uncultured bacterium
Lineage: Bacteria
Description: partial 16S ribosomal RNA
Rfam family: Bacterial small subunit ribosomal RNA
Source: RNAcentral